RNAcentral lists this ribosomal RNA (555 nucleotides) under uncultured bacterium. RNAcentral describes it as "partial 16S ribosomal RNA". It matches the Rfam family "Bacterial small subunit ribosomal RNA", at positions 355 to 902 of the family's 1533-position model. The record is from RNAcentral.
UGGGGAAUUUUGGACAAUGGGCGCAAGCCUGAUCCAGCCAUGCCGCGUGCGGGAAGAAGGCCUUCGGGUUGUAAACCGCUUUUGUCAGGGAAGAAAUCUUCUGAGUUAAUACCUCGGGAGGAUGACGGUACCUGAAGAAUAAGCACCGGCUAACUACGUGCCAGCAGCCGCGGUAAUACGUAGGGUGCAAGCGUUAAUCGGAAUUACUGGGCGUAAAGCGUGCGCAGGCGGUUUUGUAAGACAGAGGUGAAAUCCCCGGGCUCAACCUGGGAACUGCCUUUGUGACUGCAAGGCUUGAGUGCGGCAGAGGGGGAUGGAAUUCCGCGUGUAGCAGUGAAAUGCGUAGAUAUGCGGAGGAACACCGAUGGCGAAGGCAAUCCCCUGGGCCUGCACUGACGCUCAUGCACGAAAGCGUGGGGAGCAAACAGGAUUAGAUAGCCCUGGUAGUCCACGCCCUAAACGAUGUCAACUGGUUGUUGGGAAGGUUCCUUCUCAGUAACGCAGCUAACGCGUGAAGUUGACCGCCUGGGGAGUACGGCCGCAAGGUUGAAACUU